AUUGAACGCUGGCGGCAUGCCUUACACAUGCAAGUCGAACGGUAACAGGUCUUCGGAUGCUGACGAGUGGCGAACGGGUGAGUAAUACAUCGGAACGUGCCUAGUAGUGGGGGAUAACUACUCGAAAGAGUGGCUAAUACCGCAUGAGAUCUACGGAUGAAAGCAGGGGAUCGCAAGACCUUGUGCUACUAGAGCGGCCGAUGGCAGAUUAGGUAGUUGGUGGGAUAAAAGCUUACCAAGCCGACGAUCUGUAGCUGGUCUGAGAGGACGAUCAGCAACACGGGGACGGGGACACGGCCCAGACUCCUACGGGAGGCAGCAGUAGGGGAAUUUUGGACAAUGGGCGAAAGCCUGAUCCAGCAAUGCCGCGUGCAGGAUGAAGGCCUUCGGGUUGUAAACUGCUUUUGUACGGAACGAAAAGCCCCGGGUUAAUACCCUGGGGUCAUGACGGUACCGUAAGAAUAAGCACCGGCUAACUACGUGCCAGCAGCCGCCGUAA
This 499-nucleotide ribosomal RNA is filed under the name uncultured bacterium. RNAcentral's name for it is "partial 16S ribosomal RNA". It matches the Rfam family "Bacterial small subunit ribosomal RNA", at positions 30 to 523 of the family's 1533-position model. The record is from RNAcentral.